GUCCUGCGGUGCCUCUCCUCUCGUUGACUCCCCCGUCCGCCGGCCACCUCGACUUCGUGUUUCCUCUCGUCGACUCCUCCGUCUGACGCCGGCCACCUUGACUUCGUCCGUUCGCCAUGCCUCCCCUAUUAUCCGCGCCUCUCGUCAUUAUCCCUCUCUAUCAUCUUGUGAUUUGGGGUACUUAUCUCUCUCCUUUUCAACAUUCAAACCUAGGGUUUCAAAUUUUUUCUUUUUCUCUAUUUAAUGAAAAUUUUAUUUGAUUUUACAAAUUAGGGCUUUGUUGUCUCAGUUGAUCAUUGAAAGUGGUUGAAAAUUCUACAUCCUUACUGGACAAGUUAAUCCUCAAAAUUGAAUUUGUAUAUGUUUUUAAUUUUUGUUUAAAUUAAUUUACUUUCUCUAUUUAUUCUGUUUAUGCUCUUCUCUAUAGCCUUCUGUGCCAGGAACAUCACAUAUAUCAACCAGUUUCAUAUUGCAUCGAUUGCCCAAGAUUGAAGCUGAUGAAGAACUAUUGGUCUCUGAGACCCAAGAAUUCAUUAGUGAUAAAAACUCAUAAAAGUAGCAGUUGGCGCAGAGAACUGAAAAAUGGUGAUCAAAGUCAAGUUCGCCCACCUGUUGCAUUUGCUUCGGUUGCUCCUUUCCCUUUCUUGCCUGCUCCUUUGUAUGUUUCCCCAGAUUCAUGAGUGAACAUAAACUUUUGAUUGAGAACCAGUCAAGAAAAAGAGGCAGAACAAAUAAAUGGACGGGAGCUCAAAAGCACAGCAAGGACUUUACUGAUUGGUUUAAAACUAGAGUAUCUAAGUUGGAAUCAGCAUCAGAGUGGUAGUUUUUUUAUUAGAUAGCAGACCUAAGCUUAUCGCCGGUUCAGUAGCAGGAUACACUGGCCAUGUUGAUGGGAGACCACGAGAAGGAAGGAUGAACCAUAAACUUUCCUUGUGAUGAUACACAAGCUAUUUUCCUUUAGCCAGCUAUCUUGGUUUGUAAGGCAUAAAUUGCUCAUUGCAUUAUUU
Asparagus officinalis (garden asparagus) is the source of this 1007-nucleotide long non-coding RNA. RefSeq lists it as uncharacterized. Lineage: Eukaryota; Viridiplantae; Streptophyta; Magnoliopsida; Asparagales; Asparagaceae. The transcript is spliced from 3 exons. The record is from RefSeq and is a predicted model, not a curated record.